RNAcentral lists this ribosomal RNA (743 nucleotides) under Salmonella enterica. RNAcentral describes it as "partial 23S ribosomal RNA". It matches the Rfam family "Bacterial large subunit ribosomal RNA", at positions 711 to 1366 of the family's 2925-position model. RNAcentral also lists the same sequence under 2 other names. Lineage: Bacteria; Pseudomonadati; Pseudomonadota; Gammaproteobacteria; Enterobacterales; Enterobacteriaceae. The record is from RNAcentral.
AGACCCGAAACCCGGUGAUCUAGCCAUGGGCAGGUUGAAGGUUGGGUAACACUAACUGGAGGACCGAACCGACUAAUGUUGAAAAAUUAGCGGAUGACCUGUGGCUGGGGGUGAAAGGCCAAUCAAACCGGGAGAUAGCUGGUUCUCCCCGAAAGCUAUUUAGGUAGCGCCUCGUGAAUUCAUCUCCGGGGGUAGAGCACUGUUUCGGCUAGGGGGCCAUCCCGGCUUACCAACCCGAUGCAAACUGCGAAUACCGGAGAAUGUUAUCACGGGAGACACACGGCGGGUGCUAACGUCCGUCGUGAAGAGGGAAACAACCCAGACCGCCAGCUAAGGUCCCAAAGUCAUGGUUAAGUGGGAAACGAUGUGGGAAGGCCCAGACAGCCAGGAUGUUGGCUUAGAAGCAGCCAUCAUUUAAAGAAAGCGUAAUAGCUCACUGGUCGAGUCGGCCUGCGCGGAAGAUGUAACGGGGCUAAACCAUGCACCGAAGCUGCGGCAGCGAACGUAUCACCCAAGACAACUUUACGGAGUUGACGAUUGACGGAGCGAAGCGACGUCAAAGCGUUCAUUAAAGUCGAGUUGGCUUAGGGAUACGUUCGUUGGGUAGGGGAGCGUUCUGUAAGCCUGUGAAGGUGUGUCGUGAGGCAUGCUGGAGGUAUCAGAAGUGCGAAUGCUGACAUAAGUAACGAUAAAGCGGGUGAAAAGCCCGCUCGCCGGAAGACCAAGGGUUCCUGUCCAACGUU